Molecule: ribosomal RNA, 114 nt
Filed under: uncultured eukaryote
Lineage: Eukaryota
Description: partial small subunit ribosomal RNA
Rfam family: Bacterial small subunit ribosomal RNA
Source: RNAcentral
GGGUUUCACCAGAAGUAGGUAGCCUAACCGCAAGGAGGGCGCUGACCACGGUGGGAUUCAUGACUGGGGUGAAGUCGUAACAAGGUAGCCGUAGGUGAACCUGCAGAAGGAUCA